Molecule: ribosomal RNA, 507 nt
Filed under: uncultured bacterium
Lineage: Bacteria
Description: bacterial SSU rRNA
Rfam family: Bacterial small subunit ribosomal RNA
Source: RNAcentral
GAUCCUGGCUCAGGAUGAACGCUAGCUACAGGCUUAACACAUGCAAGUCGAGGGGAAACGACAUUGAAAGCUUGCUUUUGAUGGGCGUCGGACCGGCGCACGGGUGAGUAACGCGUAUCCAACCUGCCCACCACUUGGGGAUAACCUUGCGAAAGUAAGACUAAUACCCGAUGAUAUCCCUAGAAGACAUCUGAAAGGGAUUAAAGAUUUAUCGGUGAUGGAUGGGGAUGCGUCUGAUUAGCUUGUUGGCGGGGUAACGGCCCACCAAGGCUACGAUCAGUAGGGGGUUCUGAGAGGAAGGUCCCCCACAUUGGAACUGAGACACGGUCCAAACUCCUACGGGAGGCAGCAGUGAGGAAUAUUGGUCAAUGGGCGAGAGCCUGAACCAGCCAAGUAGCGUGCAGGAUGACGGCCCUAUGGGUUGUAAACUGCUUUUAUAAGGGAAUAAAGUGAGUCUCGUGAGACUUUUUGCAUGUACCUUAUGAAUAAGGACCGGCUAAUUCCGUG